Lacerta agilis (Sand lizard) is the source of this 2987-nucleotide long non-coding RNA. RefSeq lists it as uncharacterized. The record is from RefSeq and is a predicted model, not a curated record. NCBI's taxonomy places the organism in Eukaryota, Metazoa, Chordata, Lepidosauria, Squamata, Lacertidae. The transcript has 2 exons.
ACCAGAGGCGACUUUUCUCUCUUGUCACGAAUCCAAAAGGCAAGGAAGGCAACAGGAACAGGUACAACAGAUGCAAAGCAGCCUUCUUUGCCAGGGUGCUGGCUGCACUUCACCAGCUCCUUCUUCCUGAAGCCUCCAGACCAUCGCCGUUCUCCUCUGCCAUUGCUUCGCCAUCAAGUUCGCCAUUCAGGACCAUCAACAAAAUGAUGCUGUCCUUGAGGCUGAGGUAGUAGAUUGAAUAGUUGUGGAGCCAUAUUCUCCCUCUGAGCUAACUAUACAAUCUACUGUCUUUCCUAAGGAGACAGUCAGGUCAUCUCAUCCUUUCGGAUCACCCAUCCUCAUCUGCCAUGAAGAAUAUCGCUUUUGCCCCCUUUGGCACCAGACCCACGCUCCCAUGGCUGCUGGAAAUUCUGGGACAUCCUCUGUCCUGCCCCGUGGAGGUGAGGUAGUAGGUUGUAUAGUUUGUGGGAGGGAUUACAUCCCAGUUCAGGUGAUAACUAUACAGUCUAUUGCCUUCCUUAAGGAGCAGCAAAUCUGCCUUAGGAACAGUUUGAUGCACUUAACUUCAGAAUGGUUUCUCCUUUCAUGACAUGGGGCCCUCAUUAUGUUCAGGAACUUGUUUCUUACAAAGCACACCAUGAGUUUUCCUUUUGAUGGUCCUUCACGUGCUACUUUCCCUCCUUCCCUUUUCCACAGGAGUGAGUGGGGAACUUUCUUCUGCCCAAAGGUCACAUUUCCUUCCGAGGGCCACAAGCCUAUAGUGGAAUGAUGUUAAGACAAUUGAGGGUCAGUAAUUCCUGGAUGAUCAACUGCAAAUCACCAGUAGAUCCUGAACUAACUUUCCCUCAUUCCUGUCCUACCUUCAUGGAAGAUGGACAAUUCUGGCAGUUUCAAUUUCUCUUUUUUCUGGUCUCAAAUUCAGUUUCCACAUUAGCUAGUAUCCUGGCAGUUGUGCUUUGUACUAACUGCAGUUUACCAGAUCAUUGGUAACUGUAGCAAAACUAUAACUCUCCAGGAGGGAUCAUGACUGGCACCCCAAUCUUAGCUGAUGAAAACUGUUCCAUGCCUCUUGGGCCUCUGACCAUAGAGCUUUUCCUCACAUCAAGCAGGACACAAGCAAAAGUAUAUUGUAUUUGUCUUACAUUUUAUGUUAUGUUUUAAAAUAGGUGAGUUGUGAAUUAUGGAACUCUUAAAGAUUGUUUAUUGUUCUAUGCCUUCAUUUUUUGAUUCCCAGAUGAUGUCAAAGGGCUAACUAAUAGGAAACCAGUAUCUUCUGGAUGGGCCUCUGGAAUGACUGUGGUGGGAGACUAGAGAGACUGAGCAGGCCAGGAAGCACUGUAGUUGGUCAGGGCACAGACAAGUGCCCAGAACCAAGACAGAGGCACACAAAUAGAGCACAAGAAACUCUGGCCAACUCUUGUUACAUAUCACUGUGACUCCUGAUUAAAACCUCCUGCUUCAAGUUGCUCUUGAAACAGAGACCUAGGGAGAAGGAUUGUGUGGGUCUCCUAAUGUUUCUGAUCUACAGCUCCCAUCAUCCCUGAUGAUUGGUCAUGCAGGCUGGGGCUGAUGGGAGUUGGAGUCAAAUGAUACCAUGAAGACCACAUGUUCACCACAGGCUCAAUGCAUGGGCAGGUUUGCAUGGAAGCAAGCAGCCCUUGUUCAAGAACCAGUAGCUUGAAGUUUUUCUGGAAACACAUUCAUAGCUAAUGAAGGUCUUUGAACAUUGGAGAAAAACAGACAAAUCUAUGGAUCCCAGUUAUUAAUUGUGCUGCCCUAUUUUGUACCAACUGAGGUUUUUAAAUUUUUCCUUCCGAGACAGCACCACAAUUAAUGCACUGCAACAAUCCAGUUAAGUGUGGUAAAAUCAGGUUGGCUGACAGCAAUUGCUAUGGCUGCCUUUUGCUGAUACAAAUGUCCUCACACAUCCAGAUCUUGCUGGUGCCACAGACAAGACGCUGGGCAGGAUGGUCUCUUGGUCAGACCCAGCCAGGCCAAUCCGGUUUAAAUACAGCCACCCACAAGACAAUAAAUUUCUAGGACAAAUGCCAAGUGUAAUAUAAACCCUUACAUUUUUGCAUCGCUUGGGGGAGAGGAGGAGGAGGAAGUGAGAGAUGCAGGAAUUCAGAAUGGAGCCUUUUUGAACUUCUCAUUGGUUUUGCUGCCGUUGGAGUGCAUGGCUGGCUUUGUGUGUUGUCUGUGGCUAGAUCAACACUCGCCUCAGACUUUCUGUAGAUACCCAGCACCUUAUGCCAACAGUUCAGCUCUUAUCACAGUGACAGAGAGCUUGCAGAAGCUGUUUCGUGAGUCAUGAAAAUCCAUAAAGUGACUCUGAGCUUCAGCAGCGGUGACCUACGAACAUAGCUCCCUCUCCUGCUAAAUGCAUGCAAAUGGGUAAUUCACUGGUGCCGGGCUGCAUUCAAGCACCUCACCAUUGGUGGUCACCAUAGCGAGGGGGGCUGAAACCCCAGCUGCACGCAAUCCUGCCUCCCUGGAGCUUCACCCUUCCUAUGUGCAGAAUGUGUAAUUCAGAGACUUGUGAAGCCUCUGACAGCGAAGGGAGGGGUAGCUUGGAGCUGGUCCAUGAAUUACUAACAAAAGGGCUUGUGUUUGACAGCUUCAGCUGCUAUAGCAACAUGGCUGCAGAUAAAGAGUGUUAGCUGUCCCAUCCUGCAACUCUCGGGAGAGGCAAGUUUAGGCAAAAAGGGAGUCAUCAAUGCCCACGGCCAGCAGGGCAAGCGAGGGUGGGACUGCCAGCUCCCUCUCAUUUGCCUGCAAUCCGCGGUUGUAGGAGGGGUUUGCAGCUUGUGCUUGAUCUAUAUAACCUUGCUAGAUUUUUUUUUAAGCAGCUUUUAUCACCAUCAACAAUGAGCCCAGAGGAGACGUUUGAGCGCCUGUUGUGCCUUACAGAGGCAUUGUAGCAACGUAAGUUUAAGGGUUUUGUCCCUUAACUUAAUGUUUUUAUUUAAAUAAAAAUGUCAAAAGUU